GGGCUUGGUGCCCUGAUUUUAAGGCUGAUUCAUAAACAAAGGGUAAAUAAAACAAAAUUAAAAUACCACUAGGUCAAUAAAUCAGCGGUUGAGGGGAAGAGGAGAAAUGGGAGUGCCAACGCAUUUAUUGUAAUAAGGAAGCGUGAACAUGAAGGGACAUCGUAUGAUAUCCUAUGGUUAUUUCUUUUGCAAAAAUCCUAUGCACUAUUUCGAAUGAAAGGAGGAUUUGAAUCAAAUGAACUACUUAUUUGCUGAUAUCACUAUUUCAAAGUCAUCAGAGCAAUUGCUAAAGAGAAAAAUUAUAAAUAUGUUCAGUCCUAGGAAAUUGGGUCAGAAUCUGCGUAUCUAAUGGGAUCGUUACUGUUACACUUGUAAGAUUUGGAAUCCGUUCAAAAAACAAGCCAGAAACAAGCCUUUGUAUACGUUAGGAAAAGAUGCCCUGCAUUAGAGCCCGGCCAAGGGAGAGAUGGGGGCAGGUAACUGCAGUCCAAAACUGAGCAGCCACUCCUAGAAGCUCUGCUUGAAAUUCAUGCUGUUAAGACAAGCGACCAAAAGUAUUUAACUCCUGCAUUGACCUAGGCACCUCUCCUCCCAGCAGUUACCUGGGAAAGAUACUCAGAAUCAAUGAGAAAUGGGAAAUCAAAGAACCUGCUAUGGACUGAAUUGUAUCCCCUCCAAAAUGCAUAUCUUGAAGCCCGAACCCCAGUGUGAUGGUAUUUGGAGAGGUGACCUUUGGGAGGUAUUAAAUAAAAUUUACAUGAGGCCAUUGGUUUGGACUUGUUGCCAGUAAACUGAGUUUUUUCCCCACUUUGUAUUGAUGGCAAAGGAAGAAUGUCCAGUUGGAAAAGGCAAUCAGGUUUUAUUCACUGGCCAAGAAGGAAGAAGGGGAGGCUCUCGCUCUAAACGCCCCUUCUCCCUGAACAGUAGAAGUUAUGGGUACUUUAGGGACUGGGUAUAGGGAGGGAGAGGGA
This 971-nucleotide long non-coding RNA is filed under the name Homo sapiens (human). RNAcentral's name for it is "HSALNT0043748". Lineage: Eukaryota; Metazoa; Chordata; Mammalia; Primates; Hominidae. The record is from RNAcentral.